This 4051-nucleotide ribosomal RNA is filed under the name Chinannus trinitatis. RNAcentral's name for it is "partial large subunit ribosomal RNA". It matches the Rfam family "Eukaryotic large subunit ribosomal RNA". The record is from RNAcentral. Lineage: Eukaryota; Metazoa; Arthropoda; Insecta; Hemiptera; Schizopteridae.
CAACCUCAAAUUAGGUGAGACUACCCGCUAAAUUUAAGCAUAUUAUUAAGCGGAGGAAAAGAAACUAACAAGGAUUUCCAUAGUAGCUGCGAGCGAACUGGAAAAAGCCCAGCACUGAAUUAUUAGUAUUUAUAUGCUAAUAAAAUGUAGUGUUUAAGAAGGUUUUUCUAAUAUUCUAAGAUAUUGAGUUUGUUCAAGUUUAUCUUGAAUGGGGCCAAAGUCCAUAGAAGGUGCUAGGCCCGUAGUAGCAAAUACUUAUCUUAGAAAAGCCUUUCUUUAGAGUGCAACCUUAAGUGGGUGGUAAACUCCAUCUAAGGCUAAAUAUAACCACGAGACCGAUAGCAAACAAGUACCGUGAGGGAAAGUUGAAAAGAACUUUGAAGAGAGAGUUCAAAAGUACGUGAAACCGUUUAGGGGUAAACGAAAAAGAACUGAAAAUCCGAAAAGGGAGAUUCACGUCUUCUCGUAUUUGCUAAGAAUAAUGAUAUUUAGGAUAAAUCUUGGCCUGUGCAUUUUAAUGUAUUAGUGCUAUUAUUUGCCUGAUUUUAUUAUUUACUAGCAACGGUGGACCGCACUUCUCUCUAAGUAGGACGUCGCGACCCGCUAACUUAUAAUCUAUGUGCAAAUAUAUUAGUCUUAUUAUAUGUAAUUUAUGUAUUAUUUAUAAUAUAUAUUUUUGUAUCUAUAAUAAGGUUGUUUGUUUUAUCUGAUUAAUUCGUUGGCGGUAAAAGACGAUAGUGUCUAGCCACCUUAUUAUGGUGUUUAGUUUUAUACUUUUAUAUUUUUAAUACAAUUAAAUCUAUUGGAUUAUUUAGUUCCUUAUUUAAUUUAUUAAUUAUAUUAGUUUUAAUUAAACUUGGCUUGCAACACUAGUCAGCGGCGCUACAGUUUCAGUAACUUUUUCGACCCGUCGAAACACCCAAGGAGUCUAACAUGUGCGCAAGUCGUUAGGUGUAUUAAAACCUAUAGGCGAAACGAAAGUAAAGAAAGCUUUGCUUUAUAAGGAAGGAUGGUUCUAUUCAGAAUACUUGAAUAAACCCGCACUUCUGGGGCGUCUAUUACUCUUUUUGAGUAAAGGGGCACCUAGAGCGUACACGUUGGGACCCGAAAGAUGGUGAACUAUGCAAGACCAGGAUGAAGCCAGGGGAAACCCUGGUGGAGGUCCGUAGCGAUUCUGACGUGCAAAUCGAUCGUCAGAGUUUUGUAUAGGGGCGAAAGACUUAUCGAAUUAUCUAGUAGCUGGUUCCCUCCGAAGUUUCUCUCAGGAUAGCUGGUGCCAAUGAUGAGAAGAGUCUCAUCCGGUAAAGCGAAUGAUUAGAGGCCUUGGGGCCGAAACGACCUCAACCUAUUCUCAAACUUUAAAUGGAUGAGAGCCUUGGCUUGCUUAAAAAGUGAAGCCGGGGAUUUGGAUCUAGGUACCAAGUGGGCCAAUUUUGGUAAUGUGGGAUGAACCAAACGCAAAGUUAAGGCGCCCGAAUUGACGCUCAUUAGACACCAUAAAAGGCGUUGGUUGCUAAAGACAUCAGGAUGGUGACCAUGGAAGUCGGAAUCCGCUAAGGAGUGUGUAACAACUCACCUGACGAAGCAACUAGCCCUGAAAAUGGAUGGCGCUGUAGCGUCGUGCCUAUACUUUGCCGUCAACGGCAAAUUAGGUCACACUUAUUUAUUUUAUAAGUGUCCUAUUAAGCCUUGAUGAGUAGGAGGGUCGCAGCGAUGAGCGCAGAAGGGUCUGGGCGUAAGCCUGCCUGGAGCCGUCGCUGGUGCAGAUCUUGGUGGUAGUAGCAAAUACUCCAGCGAGGCCCUGGAGGACUGUUGUGGAGAAGGGUUUCUUGUGAACAGCUGUUGCACAAGAGUCAGUCGAUCCUAAGCUCUAGGAGAAAUCCCAUGUUAAUGGAUUGCAUUAUUUAUAUAAGGAUAUAUAAGGAUGGCAUCCUUUGAGCAAAAGGGAAUCCGGUCCCUAUUCCGGAACCUGGCAGCGGUACCGUUUCAAAUCGAGCCCUCAUAUGAGACUCGUCGGGGUGACCCAAAAGGACCCGGAGACGCCGUUGGAAGAUUCGGGGAGAGUUGUCUCUUCUCUAUAAGCGUUCGAGUUCCCUGGAAUCCUCUAGCAGGGAGAUAGGGUUUGGAACGCGAAGAGCAUCGCAGUUACGGCGAUGUCCGAAUCUUUCCUUCGGACCUUGAAAAUCCGGGAGAGGGCAACGAGGAACCCCGCGCCAGAUCGUACCCAUAUCCGCAGCAGGUCUCCAAGGUUAAUAGCCUCUAGUCGAUAGAAUAAUGUAGGUAAGGGAAGUCGGCAAGUUCGAUCCGUAACUUCGGGAUAAGGAUUGGCUCUGAGGAUCGUGGCGUGCCGGGCUUGGUUGGGAAGUGGAGCGUUGCCAACGAGCCGGGCCUGGGCGAGAGGUAGACAGGCAUUUUUUUUAUAAAGAAUGUUUUGUAAAUCUGAGCUCGGUCCCGUGCCUUGGCCACCCACGGAUCUUCCUUGCUGUAGAUGCAAUAAUUGUCAGUUGAUAGUUCAUUAUUGAGCUGUUAAACGGAUUUUGUUUCUUUUCGGCCGCCAUUCAACGAUCAACUCAGAACUGGCACGGACCAGAGGAAUCUGACUGUCUAAUUAAAACAAAGUAUUGCGAUGGCCCCAAACGGGUGCUGACGCAAUAUGAUUUCUGCCCAGUGCUUUGAAUGUCAAUGUGAAGAAAUUCAAAUAAGCGCAAGUAAACGGCGGGAGUAACUAUGACUCUCUUAAGGUAGCCAAAUGCCUCGUCAUUUAAUUAGUGACGCGCAUGAAUGGAUUAACGAGAUUCCUAUCUGUCCCUAUCUACUAUCUAGCGAAACCACUGCCAAGGGAACGGGCUUGGAAAUAUUAGCGGGGAAAGAAGACCCUAUUGAGCUUGACUCUAGUCUGGUAUUGUAAGGAGACAUGAGAGGUGUAGCAUAAGUGGGAGGUAAUAACUUUUUUAUAAAGGUAUUAUCGAAAGUGAAAUACCACUACUUUCAUAGUUUCUUUACUUAUUUGAUAAGGCGGAGGGCGUUUUACUUAGGGUGUUAAAGCUCAGGUAAAACGGUAUUCUUGCGCCAAGCGUUAGGGUUGUCGAAUGACCAGCAUUUAAGCUUUUGGUUACAGAGGUGUAUAAAUGAAUUGUCUUUCAAGAGUUUGUGCUCAAGUUUGUACAGUUUUAUUUAUUAUCUCUUUUCCAUUGUUUUUUGUUGAGUUUUUUCGUCAACAUGUUCCCUAGCGUUAUCCGAUUCAAAGACAUUAUCAGAACGGGAGUUCGACUGGGGCGGUACAUCUGUCAAAAAAUAACGCAGGUGUCCUAAGGCCAGCUCAGCGAGGACAGAAACCUCGCGUAGAGUAAAAUGGCAAAAGCUGGCUUGAUCCCGAUGUUCAGUAUGCAUAGGGACUGUGAAAGCAUGGCCUAUCGAUCCUUUUAGUCUAAAGAGUUUUUAGUAAGAGGUGUCAGAAAAGUUACCAUAGGGGUAACUGGCUUGUGGCAGCUAAGCGUUCAUAGCGACGUUGCUUUUUGAUCCUUUGAUGUCGGCUCUUCCUAUCAUUGCAAAGCAGAAUUUGCAAAGUGUUGGAUUGUUCACCCACUAACAGGUAACGUGAGCUGGGUUUAGACCGUCGCGAGACAGGUUAGUUUUACCCUACUGAUUAGACGUUUUUGCGUUAGUAAUUCUGCUCAGUACGAGAGGAACCGCAGGUUCGGACAUUUGGUUCAUGCACUCGGUCGAUCGGCCGGUGGUGCGAUGCUACCAUCCGAUGGAUUAUGCCUGAACGCCUCUUAAGGCCGAAUCCUAUCUAAAAAAGGAAAAAUAUAUCUAUGAGCUCUGUGAGUCGGAAGGCUUAAACAAUGUGACUGUUUAGGUGAUUAGCUAGAAGUGUUUAAUCAUCGCAUUGGCCUAUUGUGCAUACUUAUAUCUCGUAAUAAAAUUAUUAAUAAUUUUAUUACAAAUAUAAUGUACGUAGAAUAGGUUUCCCCUUUUGGGGAGUUCGAUGUCAGAGCUCGGAAUCGUUCGUAGACGACCUAAGUAAUUAGCGGGGUGUUGUAUUCGGUAG